This 900-nucleotide ribosomal RNA is filed under the name Lactifluus volemus. RNAcentral's name for it is "eukaryotic LSU rRNA". It matches the Rfam family "Eukaryotic large subunit ribosomal RNA", at positions 64 to 941 of the family's 3401-position model. Lineage: Eukaryota; Fungi; Basidiomycota; Agaricomycetes; Russulales; Russulaceae. The record is from RNAcentral.
ACUAACAGGAUUCCCCUAGUAACUGCGAGUGAAGCGGGAAAAGCUCAAAUUUAAAAUCUAAUGGUCCUUGGCCAUUCGAGUUGUAAUUUAGAGAAGCGUCUUCCGCGCCAGACCAUGUACAAGUCUCCUGGAACGGAGCGUCAUAGAGGGUGAGAAUCCCGUCUUUGACAUGGACCCUUGGUGCUUCUGUGAUGCGCUCUCAAAGAGUCGAGUUGUUUGGGAAUGCAGCUCAAAAUGGGUGGUGAACUCCAUCUAAGGCUAAAUAUUGGCGAGAGACCGAUAGCGAACAAGUACCGUGAGGGAAAGAUGAAAAGCACUUUGGAAAGAGAGUGAAACAGUACGUGAAAUUGUUGAAAGGGAAACACUUGAAGUCAGUCGCGUCGAUCGAGACUCAGCCUUGCCUUGGCUUGGCGUACUUCUCGACUUGACGGGCCAGCAUCAAUUUCRUCCCUCGGAUAAUGGCAGGGGAAAGGUGGCACCUUCACGGGUGUGUUAUAGUCUCUUGUCGCAUGCGAGGGGUGGGAUUGAGGAACUCAGCACGCACCUCACGGUGUCGGGGCUUCGGCCCACGUUACGUGCUCAGGAUGCCGGCGUAAUGGCUUUAAAUGACCCGUCUUGAAACACGGACCAAGGAGUCUAACAUGCCUGCGAGUGUUCGGGUGGAAAACCCGUGUGCGUAAUGAAAGUAAAAGUUGGGACCUCUGUCGUGGAGGGCACCGACGCCCGGACCAGACCUUCUGUGACGGAUCUGCGGUAGAGCAUGCAUGUUGGGACCCGAAAGAUGGUGAACUAUGCCUGAAUAGGGUGAAGCCAGAGGAAACUCUGGUGGAGGCUCGUAGCGAUUCUGACGUGCAAAUCGAUCGUCAAAUUUGGGUAUAGGGGCGAAAGACUAAUCGAACC